Molecule: ribosomal RNA, 467 nt
Filed under: uncultured bacterium
Lineage: Bacteria
Description: partial 16S ribosomal RNA
Rfam family: Bacterial small subunit ribosomal RNA
Source: RNAcentral
GACGAACGCUGGCGGCGUGCUUAACACAUGCAAGUCGAACGGAAAGGCCCUGCUUUUGUGGGGUGCUCGAGUGGCGAACGUGUGAGUAACACGUGAGUAACCUGCCCUUGACUUUGGGAUAACUUCAGGAAACUGGGGCUAAUACCGGAUAGGAGCUCCUGCUGCAUGGUGUGGGUUGGAAAGUUUCGGCGGUUGGGGAUGGACUCGCGGCUUAUCAGCUUGUUGGUGGGGUAGUGGCUUACCAAGGCUUUGACGGGUAGCCGGCCUGAGAGGGUGACCGGCCACAUUGGGAAUGAGAUAGGGCCGAGACACAUACGGGAGGCAGCAGUGGGGAAUAAUGCACAAUGGGCGGAGGCGUGAUGCAGCAACGCCGCGUGCGGGAUGACGGCCUUCGGGUUGUAAACCGAUUUCGCCUGUGACGAAGCGUGAGUGGGGGUAAUGGGGAAAGAAGCACCGGCAAACUACGU